This 721-nucleotide ribosomal RNA is filed under the name Phytophthora colocasiae. RNAcentral describes it as "eukaryotic LSU rRNA". It matches the Rfam family "Eukaryotic large subunit ribosomal RNA", at positions 87 to 648 of the family's 3401-position model. The record is from RNAcentral. Lineage: Eukaryota; Oomycota; Peronosporomycetes; Peronosporales; Peronosporaceae.
CGGCGAGUGAAGCGGGAAGAGCUCAAGCUUAAAAUCUCCGUGCAAGUUUUGUGCGGCGAAUUGUAGUCUAUAGAGGCGUGGUCAGCGUGGGCGCUUGGGGCAAGUUCCUUGGAAGAGGACAGCAUGGAGGGUGAUACUCCCGUUCAUCCCUGAGUGGCUCGUGCGUACGACCCGUUUUCUUUGAGUCGCGUUGUUUGGGAAUGCAGCGCAAAGUAGGUGGUAAAUUCCAUCUAAAGCUAAAUAUUGGUGCGAGACCGAUAGCGAACAAGUACCGUGAGGGAAAGAUGAAAAGAACUUUGAAAAGAGAGUUAAAGAGUACCUGAAACUGCUGAAAGGGAACCGAAUCGUUUCCAGUGUCUAUAAUCUGUGGCAUAUUUCAUUGGCGAGCGUUUGCGUGCGUGUGCUGUGGCAGUGGCUUUUUUGGCUGCGCCUGGUGUGUGUGGUGUGAGUGUUUGCUGGUGCCCUGUGCUGCGGUGGGACGUCAAGGUCAGUUCGUAUGCUGCGGGAAAUGGCUGCCGAGGAGGUAGGGCUUACGCUCCGCGUUUGUCUGUUAUAUCUUGGUGGACGAGUCGUCGCGGUUGGGACUGAGGUGCCUACAYACGUGCUUUUGAGUGGGUUUGUGUCUCCGUGUGCGCCGUGUGCGGAUAGCUUGCUAUGCGUGUGUGGUUGUGUGUGGAUUGAUGCGGGCCUUAACUUGUCGCCGUUUCGGGACGUUGACGAA